RNAcentral lists this long non-coding RNA (217 nucleotides) under Sus scrofa (pig). RNAcentral describes it as "lncRNA (ENSSSCG00045015727.1)". Lineage: Eukaryota; Metazoa; Chordata; Mammalia; Artiodactyla; Suidae. The record is from RNAcentral.
CCCCUGACCCCACCCUCCACGGCCCUCUCUGUCGCAGACGUCGUAAAAUGUCUCUCUCCUCAUCAUGGAUCAAAGCUGUUUUCAUCAUUUCCUUGGCAGGACCUCUUCAUUCUGGUGAGUAGAUUUUCAUCUGCAGUGAAACAUGUUACAUAUCUUAGAAAGUGCAGGAAAAAGUUCUGUAAUCCAGGAAUGGAGGAGCUUGUGUUUUAUUGGGUUU